This 429-nucleotide ribosomal RNA is filed under the name Chloroflexota bacterium. RNAcentral describes it as "Chloroflexi bacterium partial 16S ribosomal RNA". It matches the Rfam family "Bacterial small subunit ribosomal RNA", at positions 355 to 776 of the family's 1533-position model. Lineage: Bacteria; Bacillati; Chloroflexota. The record is from RNAcentral.
UGGGGAAUAUUGCACAAUGGGCGCAAGCCUGAUGCAGCCAUGCCGCGUGUAAGAAGAAGGCCUUCGGGUUGUAAAGUACUUUCAGCGGGGAGGAAGGGAGUAAAGUUAAUACCUUUGCUCAUUGACGUUACCCGCAGAAGAAGCACCGGCUAACUCCGUGCCAGCAGCCGCGGUAAUACGGAGGGUGCAAGCGUGAAUCGGAAUUACUGGGCGUAAAGCGCACGCAGGCGGUUUGUUAAGUCAGAUGUGAAAUCCCCGGGCUCAACCUGGGAACUGCAUCUGAUACUGGCAAGCUUGAGUCUCGUAGAGGUGGGUAGAAUUCCAGGUGUAGCGGUGAAAUGCGUAGAGAUCUGGAGGAAUACCGGUGGCGAAGGCGGCCCCCUGGACGAAGACUGACGCUCAGGUGCGAAAGCGUGGGGAGCAAACAGG